This 515-nucleotide ribosomal RNA is filed under the name uncultured bacterium. RNAcentral describes it as "partial 16S ribosomal RNA". It matches the Rfam family "Bacterial small subunit ribosomal RNA", at positions 28 to 523 of the family's 1533-position model. The record is from RNAcentral.
GAUGAACGCUGGCGGCGUGCCUAAUACAUGCAAGUCGAGCGAAUGGAUUAAGAGCUUGCUCUUAUGAAGUUAGCGGCGGACGGGUGAGUAACACGUGGGUAACCUGCCCAUAAGACUGGGAUAACUCCGGGAAACCGGGGCUAAUACCGGAUAACAUUUUGAACCGCAUCGUUCGCAAUUGACAGUCGGCUUCGGCUGUCACUUAUGGAUGGACCCGGGUCGCAUGAGCUAGUUGGGGAGGUAACGGCUCACCAAGGCAACGAUGCGUAGCCGACCUGAGAGGGUGAUCGGCCACACUGGGACUGAGACACGGCCCAGACUCCUACGGGAGGCAGCAGUAGGGAAUCUUCCGCAAUGGACGAAAGUCUGACGGAGCAACGCCGCGUGAGUGAUGAAGGCUUUCGGGUCGUAAAACUCUGUUGUUAGGGAAGAACAAGUGCUAGUUGAAUAAGCUGGCACCUUGACGGUACCUAACCAGAAAGCCACGGCUAACUACGUGCCAGCAGCCGCCGUAA